GCCAUGACUUACUGACAAAUAAGACUACCACCAAUUUAAACUACGUGAAUCAUAUACAGCGUACGAUGUAAGGCACUGCACAGUUUGCUUUAAUUAACGGCCUCAAUUUGCUGCGAUGGUGGGUGGCACGGGCAUGGGGGGGGGGCGCCUCAGGUGGUGAUAGCGAGUGGAGGUGGCAAUGGUGCAGCCAGCCUUCGCCAAACCUAACGAGGGCCGUGCCUGUCUGAGAGCCUCGACAGACGUCCGGUGAUCAGCAGGGCAUCGUUGUAGGUGUUGUAAGCAGGGUCUGGGAGGGAUAGCCCUACUUGCCCGUUUGAAGCCCCCUUCGCUUUGCUGUUGUUGGGUGGCGGUCAAAGAUUCCCACGCUGAGGAGGCACGCGCGAGUUACGACACCAACCCCUGACUGACAGCCGGUACCCGUUCACUGCUGGCUGGACUGAGGGCAUGGAUGAAAGGACACUGCCCGUCCGUAUAUACUCCAACCGGCAAAAUAUGCGCCAGGAAUCGAACUCGGGACGUCUUGGUCGUGCGAAGAACGUGUUAAGCACUACACUGCGAAACUGUUGUGUGUGUGUGUGUGUGUGUGUGUGUGUGUGUGUUUAUUUCUGAGUGAAGACAACAAACGUAGCAGCAGCAGCCAACACAAUGGUAACUCUGACGGUGGACUACAAUUACGAAAGGUCAGUGUGUGUGUGUGUGUGUGUGUGUGUGUGUGUACCUAUAGAUGUAGUAUACAAGGUUUGAGCUAAGCUCGUAUCGUCCAGUCUCUACAUCUGUUUUCAUCUAACGUAGAGUUAAUGAUUUUUUUUUAGCUUUUUAUUUCCUCAUUCAGACUACUCCUAAUUUCAGUGAUAAUAUUGAGAAAGCCAAAUUUUACAUCCUUUCCAAAUUUGCUCUACUUUUUGCUAACGUCCACUUGUCCUUCCACUAUUCCUCACCAGUAAGGCUUCCCUGUCGACACGCUCCAUGUCCUUUACGAUUUUGAAUAGCAUAUAAUUAAGUUACCUCUUUCUUGCAAUGUAGGAAGUUCCAGCUUGCUCGGUCUUAACGUGUUUGGUGGUUCUCUUCAAUUAAGCUUCGCGUAACUUUUAUCACACCACUUCCUCUGUACUCCUCCCAACUUUUUUUUCAAGUGAGGCGCCCACACCACGGCAGCAGAUUCUAGUCUUCAUAUUAUCGAAGAGUUACCAAAGUUCUUUGCAUUUCCUCAACCAUGCUGAUAAAUGCCAUUUUUUUCAAUAAUCUAGAACAUUUUCCGGCCAUCUUGUCAAAUGCUUCCUCUGUGGAACGGUUGUUUAAUUACUACCGGUGUGGUGUCAUCUGCCAUCCACGUAUCCUAAGACAUCCCAUCCUGAUCUUCGCAUGCGCGUAACCCGAUGUUUACAAACACAGUAAUGAUAUCGUAAUUUGUCCAGGCAAGAUGGCGACAAGACAUACAAGGAGUGUAGGUUAUCUCUUUUAUCACAUUUACUGACAUACAAGGAGUGCAUGUUAUCUCUUUUAUCACAUUUACCGACAUACAAGGGGUGCAGGUUAUCUCUUUUAUCACAUUUACCGACAUACAAGGGGUGCAGGUUAUCUCUUUUAUCACAUUUACCGACAUACAAGGGGUGCAAGUUAUCUCUUUUAUCACAUUUACCAACAUACAAGGGGUGCAAGUUAUCUCUUAUCACAUUUACGGACAUACAAGAGGUGCAUCCCGUGCAGGUUAUCUCUUUUAUCACAUUUACUGACAUACAACGGGUGCAGGUUAUCUCUUUUAUCACAUUUACUGACAUACAAGGAGUGCAGGUUAUCUCUUUUAUCACAUUUACCGACAUACAACGGGUGCAUCCCGUGCAGUUUAUCUCUUUUAUCACAUUUACCGACAUACAAGGGGUGCAUCCCGUGCAGGUUAUCUCUUUUAUCACAUUUACCAACAUACAAGGGGUGCAGGUUAUCUCUUUUAUCAUAUUUACCGACAUACAAGGGGUGCAGGUUAUCUCUUUUAUCACAUUUACCGACAUACAAGGGGUGCAGGUUAUCUCUUUUAUCACAUUUACCGACAUACAACGGGUGCUGGUUAUCUCUUUUAUCACAUUUACCGACAUACAAGGGGUGCAGGUUAUCUAUUAUCACAUUUACUGACACACAAGAGGUGCAGGUUAUCACAUUUAUCACAUUUACUGACAUACAAGUGGUGCAGGUUAUCAGAUUUAUCACAUUUAUUGACAUACAAGGGGUGCAGGUUAUCGCAUUUAUUACAUUUACGGACAUACAAGGGGUGCAGGUUAUCAGAUUUAUCACAUUUACUGACAUACAAGGGGUGCAGGUUAUCUCUUUUAUCACAUUUACCGACAUACAAGGGGUGCAGGUUAUCUCUUAUCACAUUUACUGACAUACAAGGGGUGCAGGUUAUCACAUCUAUCACAUUUACUGACAUACACGGGGAGCAGGAUAUCUUUUAUCACAUUAACCGACAUACAAGGGGUACAGGCUGUAUCUCUUUUAUCACAUUUACCGACAUACAAGGGGUGCAGGAAAAAAAACUUUCAUAUUUCACGCAAUUUUCAAAUUCAAAACAUACGUCAUCAUUUACUUUAAAAAAAAAAAAUAAACUUAGGAGGAACAGAUCACAAUAGACAGUCGACAGAAGACACAGUACCGUUGUGGUGUCAUGAGACAUCCCAAGAUCGUGAGACUCCCAUCCGGAAUACAUACAUGAAUUUCGACACGGUACCGUGUCUUACGUCGACUGCUUGUCGAGAUCUGUCCCAUUCAACUUCCAAGUUUACUUAUAUUAUUAUGAAAGCACAUAGGGAAGGCGGUGGCUGAGUCGACAGAGUGACGGCGCCGCGUUCAGGAGGACGCGAGUUCAAUCCCCGCCCGAUGCCACCAGGCUGGGAUUUUUCAGCCACCGCCAAGUGGCUUAAAACUACCCACAUGCUGUCCAGAAGACCACCUAUCAACCCGGACUUUAGAUUCUAGGAUUAAAGAUGAGCUCCGGGAGGGCAGCAUGAGCCAAUGCAAGAUGGCGCCACUAUAAACACUCGCCUGCGCCAGAACGGGCUGGGCCGACAAUCAGGCCCAACCAGGAAGAAGCCUUGGGCCGACCAUCAGGCCCCAUCGGGAAGAAGCCUACCGGCGCAACAGGCCACGACGUAAAAAAUAUAAAAAAAGACGUAUGUAUGUAUAUAACUAGGAUAUCAACAACCACUCUCCUCCUUCCUGUGACCUGUUCCGCUUUGCAUCGCUUUUUAGGACCUCCUUGGUACUGUUUUACACUUAGAUGCUUCAUUCAGUUACUCUGUGAUAGUAAAGAUUGGGUUCCGCGAUGCGAAAUUAAGGAUGGGAUGUCUUAGGAUACCGGAUGACAGAUGACACCACACCGUGUCGAAAUUCAUCCACCCUCUUUGUAAACAAAGCCCGCGCAUGCGCAUUGAGGAUGGGAUCUCUUAGGAUACGUGGAUGGCAGAUGACACCACACCCGUACUAUCAGCCUGGAUUUUUCUCAUCAUUUGCUUCACAAGAGGACGCUCCAUCUUUAUUAUACUCCCAUAUGGGAAUAUAAUAAGGUGUGUGUGUGUGUGUGUGUGUGUGUGUGUGCUCUAUUCAUGGGGAUGCAGCAGCAAACGGAGCAGCAGCAACUACAGUCAACCCGUCACUCCUACUAUCGCCCACAUUAAGGAAAGGUCACCAAGAUAUAUUAUACACUUUGUUGGUGGAAAAUUUUUGAACAAUGCGAAAGUGAUGGCUUACAAAACUGAAGUCAUUUAGUACAGUCUGCCAUUGCCACUACUACUACUACUACUACUACUACUACUACUAUUACUACUACUGCUACCAUAAUCAUUACCAUCACGACCAUACAUCACUCAUGAGUUAUCAGUAUAAAUGUAAUUACCACAACUACCAGCAUAAACACGUCAGUUUUUAUUACUACGAGCCCCGCACCACCCGAUAAGCUAUGGGACACGGAAUUUCCUUAUCUAUCCGUAGCCUAAAUCAGGGCCGAGAUCCGUAUUCUCAGGCGCUUCUGGCUCACAACUAUUUCAAAAAGGCAGAAAAGGAAAUUAAUCGUUUUCUCAUAAACCUUGUAAAACUACCACCAUGGUCAUUAAACUACCCCUGGAAAUGCCACAACUACAAAAGCCCUGUCAAAUGCGUGUGUGCAAGCCCCGAAAUGCUUAUGAAUAUGGCCCGUAGCACCUUCACCUUCACUGCUACCCUCAAACAAUCAAAUCUCUCCACCUUCUUCACUUCUUAUCACUCUCCCUGUUCCCUCUCCUGCUCAUGCUCGUAGGUUCAUUUUCUUCUUCACUUUCCUUACUUCUCACUGCUGCCACCUAUACUCAAUGACCCCCCCACCAGCGCGCCUAUUAGAAUCAUUUAUUAUCCAUUCCUUCGUUCACCUUCACCCUCAUCUCCGUUACUUAAUUAAGACUGCUACAACCCCACCUGUGAAUCUUCCAGUUACUCCUUACCUUAUUUCUUCUACUACUUACUCUUUCUCUUCACUUCCGUUGCCUGUCAGUGCUACAACUCCCCAACGAUCCCUUCACCAACCGUCUCUCAUUCCUCUUCCCUCUCUUCCCUCACUCAGUUUUCAUUCUGCCCGCCACGCCCUAUCUCGCAUUCCUUAGCUAUGACACAUGCAACCUUAAGUGAAGAGGGUGAGUACUGAGAGAGAGAGAGAGAGAGAGAGAGAGAGAGAGAGAGAGAGAGAGAGACUGCAACACCCAUAAUGGUAACAAUUUAGCCGUGAGCGGAGGGAGGAGGGCACGUCACGAACCAACAAACAAACCAACACGCGCCAUACAUAACGAGGACUUCCGCAACCCUGCUGACAACUCUCCCCGAUCCAGACAGAAUCCGCACAACCUCUCCCUCAUCCCACCCAAACGUACCAACACUUACAAUAGCAGGAACCCACAACCCUCUCCCACCUAGCCCAUGACCGCGCAGCAGGCUAGUGUGGGAAGGAGGGAGGAAGACAGGGAGUGUAAGGACGGGGUGCAGGGCGUUGGGAAGGGAGACUGAAGGAGUAGGGCCGUGGGGAGGAAGACAUAGGGAGUAGGGCCGUGGGGAGUUCACAAGUGUAGCGGGAAGAGAAAAGAGCUACCAAACACCACCACCAUCACAAAGUCGUUUUUCACCGCUGCGAAAGCCUUCC
Long non-coding RNA from Eriocheir sinensis (Chinese mitten crab), 5152 nucleotides. RefSeq lists it as uncharacterized. NCBI's taxonomy places the organism in Eukaryota, Metazoa, Arthropoda, Malacostraca, Decapoda, Varunidae. The record is from RefSeq and is a predicted model, not a curated record. The transcript has 3 exons.